Small nucleolar RNA from Anthonomus grandis grandis, 72 nucleotides. RefSeq annotates it as small nucleolar RNA SNORD18. The record is from RefSeq and is a predicted model, not a curated record. Lineage: Eukaryota; Metazoa; Arthropoda; Insecta; Coleoptera; Curculionidae. The transcript has a single exon.
UAGUCAUGAUGAACUGCUUUUGGUCCGUGUUUAUGAAUCCUUAUGAUCUUAACUUUCAAAAGCACUGAUGUA